UCAAACUUGGUCAUUUAGAGGAAGUAAAAGUCGUAACAAGGUUUCCGUAGGUGAACCUGCGGAAGGAUCAUUACCGAGUUAGGGUCUCCUCCGUGAGGCCCGACCUCCCAACCCUGUGUCUAAUAAACCUGUUUGUGUUGCUUCGGCGGAACGGCAGCGACUUGACCCCCACACGGGGCGACGGUUGCCGUCGCCGGGGGAGUCACGGUCUCACGACCGCCCCUGGAGAGCGUCCGCCGACGGCCCCAACCAAAACAACUACCAAACCCAAAUUGUGAAUGUAACUUUUUCUGAAUCAGACCUUUUGAUAUACCAAUCAAAAACAAAACUUUCAACAACGGAUCUCUUGGUUCUGGCAUCGAUGAAGAACGCAGC
This 375-nucleotide unclassified non-coding RNA is filed under the name uncultured fungus. Its description in RNAcentral is "partial contains small subunit ribosomal RNA, internal transcribed spacer 1, and 5.8S ribosomal RNA". The stretch from base 1 to 73 matches the Rfam family "Eukaryotic small subunit ribosomal RNA", at positions 1759 to 1831 of the family's 1831-position model. Lineage: Eukaryota; Fungi. The record is from RNAcentral.